Molecule: ribosomal RNA, 510 nt
Filed under: uncultured bacterium
Lineage: Bacteria
Description: partial 16S ribosomal RNA
Rfam family: Bacterial small subunit ribosomal RNA
Source: RNAcentral
GAUGAACGCUGGCGGCGUGCUUAAUACAUGCAAGUCGAACGAAGAGCGAUGGAAGUUUGCUUCUUUCAAUUUUAGUGGCGAACGGGUGAGUCACGCGUAAUCAACCUGCACUUCAGUGGGGGACAAUAGUUGGAACCGACCGCUAAUAGCGCAUACGAUUUAAUCUCGGCAUUGAGGAUAGAAGAACGGUGGCGCUUACACGUAAGCAUUCACUGACGGUGGGGAUUGCGGCUGAUUAGCUAGUUGGGGAGGUAACGGACGACCAAAGCGAUGCUCACUAGGCCGUCUUAGAGGAUUAACGGCCACAUUUGGACCUGGACACGGCCCAAACUCCUUCCGGAAGCAGCAGUGAGGAAUCUUCCGCAAUGGACGGAAGGCUGACGGAGCAACGCCGCGGUAAUGAUGACGGCUCUCGGGUUGGAAAGAUCCGGUAAUCAGGACAAAACGCAUUCUUGCGAAUAUUGGCAAGGAUUGACGGUACCGGAAUAGAAAGCCACGGCUAACUACGUG